GACAGGUGGUGCAUGGUUGUCGUCAGCUCGUGUCGUGAGAUGUUGGGUUAAGUCCCGCAACGAGCGCAACCCUUAAGCUUAGUUGCCAUCAUUAAGUUGGGCACUCUAAGUUGACUGCCGGUGACAAACCGGAGGAAGGUGGGGAUGACGUCAAAUCAUCAUGCCCCUUAUGAUUUGGGCUACACACGUGCUACAAUGGACAAUACAAAGGGCAGCGAAACCGCGAGGUCAAGCAAAUCCCAUAAAGUUGUUCUCAGUUCGGAUUGUAGUCUGCAACUCGACUACAUGAAGCUGGAAUCGCUAGUAAUCGUAGAUCAGCAUGCUACGGUGAAUACGUUCCCGGGUCUUGUACACACCGCCCGUCACACCACGAGAGUUUGUAACACCCGAAGCCGGUGGAGUAACCUU
Molecule: ribosomal RNA, 408 nt
Filed under: Staphylococcus aureus
Lineage: Bacteria; Bacillati; Bacillota; Bacilli; Caryophanales; Staphylococcaceae
Description: bacterial SSU rRNA
Rfam family: Bacterial small subunit ribosomal RNA
Source: RNAcentral